RNAcentral lists this transfer RNA (74 nucleotides) under Staphylococcus aureus. RNAcentral describes it as "tRNA-Pro". It matches the Rfam family "tRNA". Rfam says of the family: Transfer RNA (tRNA) molecules are approximately 80 nucleotides in length. Their secondary structure includes four short double-helical elements and three loops (D, anti-codon, and T loops). The record is from RNAcentral. Lineage: Bacteria; Bacillati; Bacillota; Bacilli; Caryophanales; Staphylococcaceae.
CGGGAAGUAGCUCAGCUUGGUAGAGCACUUGGUUUGGGACCAAGGGGUCGCAGGUUCGAAUCCUGUCGUCCCGA